Hippocampus comes (tiger tail seahorse) is the source of this 1349-nucleotide long non-coding RNA. RefSeq lists it as uncharacterized. NCBI's taxonomy places the organism in Eukaryota, Metazoa, Chordata, Actinopteri, Syngnathiformes, Syngnathidae. The transcript has 4 exons. The record is from RefSeq and is a predicted model, not a curated record.
CAGUGGGAUGCAACCUCUAAUUCAAGUGGCAAAAAAAAAAGAAAUGCAUAACUGGCAAUGUAACUUGCAUUCAUUUCUAAAGUGCACAAAUAUAGCCACUUUCAAAAAUAGAAUUCCUGAAUUCAAAAUUCUGCCAGUCCUUCGCUUGUGUGCGCAGUGUUGCCAUGGUCUUCUGUAAAUGGAAAACAUCAGCCCACAGAAACCUCAUGAGGAGUUUAUUGAAGAGGAAGCAGAAAGGCGGAAGCUAACGCCGAAGUCCACGAGCUACAUGUUCGAUGCUAAGCUAGCUUUCACUGCCGCCGCGUGGCAUGUCACGAUGAAAACGGAGCGCGCUGCUUUGAAAUUGGGGAUGUCGUCGCUGGUGCCGGAUGAAAAAGCACACUCGACAUCUGUCAAUGCCCAAAGCAAAAAAAAAAAAAAAAAAAAAAAAAGGGUUUCUGAAGCCGCUGGUCCGGAGCUGCAAAACCAAACAUGGCCAUUGUUUGUCAUUUGAGAGGCACAGAAACCAACAGUAUUUGAGCAUCUGGAGGGACUGCAGCGUGCUGACAAUGUCCACUGGGUUCACCGCCGUCUCCUGGCUGAUCUCUAACAGUCCAAAGAGGAAAGAUUCAAGGUCAGCGGAAAGAUUCAAGAUCUUGGAGAGAAGACUGCAAUUGGACGACGCAGUGUCCAGUGCAGGAGGCGACACGGUCGAGAAGCCCCAGUCAACGAAGCUAAUAAUUCACUGGCACCCCGCAUAAGGAUGCACUUCACACCGCUGAGACCAAGCAGAGGAAUCCUACAGUCAAGACUGAUGUGAGUGCGCAUGUGGUGCAGAGCUCUGAGACCUUGGCCAGCAAAUGAAAGAACACACUGUGGUCCUUGUUCUCGCCGACCUCUCCAGUCACAUUGGACUCACCCAUUAAAAAAGCUUUUUUUUUUUUUUGGGGCGGGGGGUUUUGGCACUAGAAACCUGCAGUGCUAAAAGACACAGUAUAUCAAACUCAUUUUACUGAGAAGAAGCCAGGGGUGACACUUUCCAUUACUAUUCCAAACAGGUUUCUUAAAAAGUUGUAUAUACACAUCCAAUGGCGGGGUUAAUCUUUCAUUUUAUAUUUAAUACAGAGCACGGAUUCCAUUGGAGGCGAUUAAUGGUGUCCAAUCAGACUUGUCUCAAAACCAACACAGUGCUGUCUUUCAGUCAUUUCCUCUCCAAUGAGGAGAAGGACUGGACUGGCCCGCCAAUAGCGAAAAUCAUGCAUAUAAUUGCAUUGAAAUGCAUGUGGGGAUUGGCGGGAUUUUUUUAAACCACAAAUUUCUUCAAAAACCCAUUGCAUUUCCCAUGAACCCCCCCCGCACCCUCAAGUAAA